This 148-nucleotide signal recognition particle RNA is filed under the name Pan troglodytes (chimpanzee). RNAcentral's name for it is "Metazoan signal recognition particle RNA". It matches the Rfam family "Metazoan signal recognition particle RNA". Rfam says of the family: The signal recognition particle (SRP) is a universally conserved ribonucleoprotein. It is involved in the co-translational targeting of proteins to membranes. Lineage: Eukaryota; Metazoa; Chordata; Mammalia; Primates; Hominidae. The record is from Rfam by way of RNAcentral.
GCCGGGCAUGGUGGCGCAUGCCUGUAAUCCCAGCUACUUGGGAGGCUGAGGCACAAGAAUCGCUUGAACUCAGGAGCUGGAGGUUGCAGUGAGCUGAGAUCACACCACUGCACUCCAGCCUGGGCAACAGAGUGAGACUCUGUCUCAA